UAACACGCUGCUGAUGUUGACGACACUGCACUGCAUCCAACCUUCCCACACACACCAAAUCAUUUUCCUUACAUUCUUCCCACAAAUUUCAACAACAAAAUAAUCUCAUACAACACACCAAAACCACUACCACCAUACACACACUGCUUCAAUCCCUAACAACAUUCUUCACACACACUCUAUCAUCAUCAUCAUGAUCUGAAAAAGGAAAAAAAAAAACCUAUCGUGUUAUGG
This 234-nucleotide long non-coding RNA is filed under the name Trifolium pratense (red clover). RNAcentral describes it as "long non-coding RNA (TPRA_LNC010539)". Lineage: Eukaryota; Viridiplantae; Streptophyta; Magnoliopsida; Fabales; Fabaceae. The record is from RNAcentral.